AGAUGUGUGCCCGAGAACCUAGGGGCUACUUUGAUAGAGUAAAACACAGGGACCAUCAACCCCUCACAUCUU
RNAcentral lists this transfer RNA (72 nucleotides) under Psammodromus algirus. Its description in RNAcentral is "tRNA-Ile". Lineage: Eukaryota; Metazoa; Chordata; Lepidosauria; Squamata; Lacertidae. The record is from RNAcentral.